RNAcentral lists this long non-coding RNA (2002 nucleotides) under Mytilus galloprovincialis (Mediterranean mussel). Lineage: Eukaryota; Metazoa; Mollusca; Bivalvia; Mytilida; Mytilidae. The record is from RNAcentral.
GGUCAACAAUAUCACUGUGUCUAAACUACACAGGCAAAAAAUGUUUGGACUCAAUAAUAUAUAAUUUCCAGCACAGUCACUAAAACAUAAAUAGAGAAAAGAUAGGUUUCUGUUUAUUUAUAUAUAUACAUAUAUAACUAUUUUCUAUUUUGAGAUGCAAUAUUUUCUACUGUGAAUAUCAAGUAUCAAAAGAUAACUGCAGUUUAUUAAAUUCACAAGAUACAAAUAUCAACUUAUGGCUAAUAAUUAAUCUAAACUUAAAAAAAAUUCAAACACAUACCAAAUCUAAUAUAUGGCAAAUCUAAACCUAUAAGUUUAUAAAACACAAAAACUAAUGUAUGGCACAUCUAAACCUAUAAGUUUAUAAAACACAAAACCUAGCGUAUGGCACAUCUAAACCUAUAAGUUUAUAAAACACAAAAACUAAUGUAUGGCACAUCUAAACCUAUAAGUUUAUAAAACACAAAAACUAAUGUAUGGCACAUCUAAACCUAUAAGUUUAUAAAAAUAAUGAUGAAUAAUUAUCAUUGGCUACAUAAACACAAUGGAAUACAACAGUUUUAUGAAGAAAAACAUCUUUACUCAUAUUAAUAAUGUUCAACACUAUCAAAAAUGCAAUAAAAAGAAUAAUCAAAUAAAAAAUAAAACCAACGUUCUACCAAUCAUCCUUUCUUCAGGCAGACACAUUUUUUUCUGUUUGAGUAGAAGCAGUCAUUUUUAUUGGUUGAAUCAAUCCAUAUGAUAUGCUGAAUUAAAAGGGAUUGUUUUAUCAAUUUCUAGUCUAAAAAGACUACAUGAUUGCACAUUAUAAUUAUAAACAUUUUAAUGCUCAAUUUUUAAUUGCAAUAAUAACUGUCAUUCUGAUUGGCCAGUAUAAUCAUCAAUUCAAACAUGACGUCCUUAUUACCCUUUGUUGACACAUUCCCACAAAUUUACUGUAUACAUUCUCGUUAUUUUCAUUUUUAACCUAAUAAUAUAUUUUUUUUUUAUCUGUGCUUAAAUAAAUCAGGUACAUGUAUUGUUAUUUAAAUAUCAUAUAUUUACCCUCCUAUUAAUUUUGAAACUUAUUAAAUAUGCAAAUGUAAUGUACACUAUAAUAUGAAUGAGUAUACCUUUAAAAGGAAGCAGAUAAUAAGGAUAUGGAAAUAGGCAGCAUACAGCAGUGUUGGAUUCAUAGGGGAUGCAAAAAGGUCAUACCACUCCUGUGAUAGGAAAAAUAUUCUUGUUUUUACAUGAAAGCUUCCAAAAACAUUGCCUUGCUUUAGUUGUGAUCAGUUAAUACCAUACAUAUAUACUUUCAUUUCAGAAAUUAUACCCCUUUUGAAAUUCAUGGAUCCACCCCUUUGAAGUACACCAUGCUCAAAAGAUUACUGCUUGUAUUUAAUUCCAGAAAACCUUAAAUUAUAGUUUCUUACAAAAUUUAGAAUAAAAAUUUCCAACAUUGCCUUAAUAAGUGUAUUUUAAAGAAUAUAUUUGGUAAACAGGACAUUCAUAAAUGAUGUACAUGUAUUUAUCAAAAUGCAUGAUUCAGUAGUGCAUACUCAUAUGCUUUUUACUACAAUUCUUGAAGCUCUGAAUUUGUGAUCUCAGAAAAACGUGACCUAAUUUUAUGGGAUUUGUAUACUAACAGAACUUAAUUUAGUAUACCCAUACAAUCAGAGUUUGAGGAUCUUAGAGUAUAAAAUAACAUUCACUUUCUUCAGAGCAUGGCCAUGGGUAUAAAUAAAGGAAACAGUAGUAUACCGCUGUUCAAAACUCGUAAAUCUAUGGACAAAAAACAGAACUGGGGUAACAAACUAAAACUGAGGGAAACGCAUUAAAUAUAAGAGGAGAACAACGACACAACAUUAAAAUGUAACACACACAGCAACGGACUAAGCAUUAGACAAAAUCCGAUGAGAAGAACAAAUAUAACAUCAAAACCAAAUACAUGAAUUAGGGAUAGAAAAGUACCGUGACACGUCUUAUAGUAAUGUGAAUUCACACUCAAAUAUAGGAGAAA